CUUCAUAACCUUCAGAGUCAAAGUACAAAUCACUUUGGUGCUCAUGAAAAUCAGGAUCAAAGCUGUACCUUAGCGGUACAAAAUUAUUUAAGUUGACUGCUGCUUGAUUCUUCUUCUAUAUUUGAGGAAAACAUUAAUUGCAUUUGAUAUAUCUGAUGACAUUACUUACUGUUUACUUUAAACAUGCAAAUACAGAAUCAGUAAUAAAGCUUUAUCUUAGCUGCAAAUACUUUGUGAAGUAAUAUUAGCAACAUGCAAUUUUUCUAUUUAAAUGUCUUUAUCAACUGCAUCAAUAAUGUAAUUGUAAAGUGAAAUUUUUCUACAACACAGAGGAUAAUAACUGAAAAAGUAGCCACCAAAGUAAAACUUUCUUGUCCUUGUUUGUGGACAUGAAUGGUUUGUUGCAGUUAUCUGUGAAGUACAAAGGAGGUCUGAUCUGAACACCAAGUUAGUCAAGUCAUUUGGCAAGUGCAUCCCUACCGCACCAAACCCAGCGGUGGUCACAACCCCCUCCACAAGCGGAGGCAACAAUACGAUCACUGGAGCAGCCACAGUGACAAACACCAAUUCAACAACCAUAGACCUGACCAGCACCACUACUGCUACUACUAACACUAUAACUACUGUCAACUCCACCAUCAGCUCAGGGAACACAACCUUUGUGUCAAACAGCACAAGUGGCGUGAAAAGACGAAGGCGUGAUGCUGAUUCACACAGUGAGAAGGGGAAAAAGUUUAGUGAAGAGGAGCACAAGGAUGACAGUGAAAUGGAAGACGAGGAUGAAACGAGCAGUGAGGACGAUGACGAAUCCAAAAACCUUUACGGGCUCUUUCAGCUGUCUGACAGAGAGUUCUGUGAUUCGGGAUUAUGUCCAUCCAAAAGUAUGUGCCAUGCCUCCUGCACAGCUUUUACUGAUGAUGACAUAACUGAUGAUAUUGCUUGUGUUGUCAAGACUGGUUACUGGAAGGAGAUCAUGAAAAGUGCCUCGAAGUCAUGUCGUCGCACCAGGGAUUUCUUUGAGGAAUGUGACUAAAUGGCUGUGAGAUCUUGGUUGCUACAAUUUCCUAAUGAGAUCCACCUUCCGUGAGCUGUGAUUGAGGAACCGCAUGCUCCAUUACCAACCAAACAGCAUUUUUUGUUUGUUUGUUUGUUUGGUUGGUGGAUCAUUCAGUAACCGUUGCUUUGUACCUGUAUGUUUUAAUAGUAAUGCCAAUAGACCUAAUCAGCCCUCAAAUUCCUACAAAGUAAUGAUUACUUUUUCAAAAGUCUAAAACUCAACGCUUUACAUCUAUUUCUUUUCUUUCAAUAAAUAUUGACUUGCAGCAUCUUUGUGUUUGUGUUAUUAUAUAUGUAUAGUACUUUUAAUAGUAAUGACAAAACUGCUUCAAUCUCAUGAAGACUACCUGUUGCUUCACGUUUAUUUAACACCACGACAUGUGCACCACCAUACGAAAAAUAACCCUGAAAGCAUGAGAGAUAAAAUUUUGCUCCAACCAGGAGACUUAAAGGUAUUUCAUUAAUCAGAAAUAAACCAAGCAAUUGGCUACUGUGCAAACCAUUAAAAUUAUUCUCAUAUGAAAUAAAAAUGGAUUAAACUGAGAUAUUUAUACAGUAAAACCUCAGGACCAAAUGUUAAGACUUACUGUUAACACAUAUAUUCCUUUUUUCCUGUUUGUCCUUGAAGUUGGCAGAUUAUAAAGGACCUCUUUCCAUGUGUUUCAGCUCCUAUUUACACUUUGCCUCAGGUGACCUUUCUGAAUGAGAUAUUCCACUUUGGACCCUAUAGUAGUAAUUAUAAUAGUCUAGUUCUUUUAAAAUCCUUUUCUACUUUGACUGAGCACUCAAGUAUAAUUCACUCAUUCCCACACACUGUCAUAUAGUGACUUUUUCCCUAAGUACUUUCUAUCUGGCAUUCACGUACUUAUCAGCAUUCAAUAUAGGGCUUUGGAGCGUGAUGUCACGGGAGGUGGGCCACGCCCCCUUCCGCCAUGACAGUAGGCCAGACACAGGAUACAGCUUCAGCUAUGGUUCGUACGUGUUGUGUUGUCAGUUGCAACGUUAGAUCACACGAUCGUGAAGGCAAGAAGCUGGAUAAUGGGCUCUCUUUUCAUCGUUUUCCAUCCUGGAGGCAACGUAAGGGAUCCCAUGUAUCCGAUAUUACUAAACAAAGACGUCAGGCUUGCAUUGCAGCAGUGAGACGAGCGGAUAUCGAGUUCUGUGCAAUCCCCAGCUUUUUGUUGGUUUGAGCUCUAAAAACAUACUAAAUUGCUAUCACUGUACACUAAUCCGCACAUAACUUCCAGAUGAAUCACACACCUGUCAUUGGAAUAUUGGUGUACAUUUACCUUAUGUGUAUGCACUAAUUUUAUCUUACAGGCUUUUGUUAUGCAGCUGCAGAGUCUGAAGGUGUGCCCUGUGCAGAAGUGAUUGAUGAAGAUCUGACAGAAGUGGGGAGCGGACAGACAGCAUCACGGAAGCUAAAGGGCAGACGAAGUAUUGUGUGUGCAAUGAACAGGGCAGAGCAGAAAUAAACACAACACUGCUCGAUAAGAUUGUUAAGGUUUGCUGUGUUUUGGUGAAUAUGUGCCCCAGUGUGGUUGUCAAACCAGGGCCAAAUGAAACUUGCUCUUGUUGACUAUUCAUAAAGCUGUUGUGUUGCAUGUGUAGUUCAUUGUAAAUAAUUGUACUUUGUGUGAAGUAGUUUCAAUAAAACAGAAAAG
Astatotilapia calliptera (eastern happy) is the source of this 2720-nucleotide long non-coding RNA. Lineage: Eukaryota; Metazoa; Chordata; Actinopteri; Cichliformes; Cichlidae. The record is from Ensembl.